Molecule: ribosomal RNA, 129 nt
Filed under: Chinchilla lanigera (long-tailed chinchilla)
Lineage: Eukaryota; Metazoa; Chordata; Mammalia; Rodentia; Chinchillidae
Source: RNAcentral
GACUACGGCCAUUCCACCCUGAAGGCGCCCAAUCUCGUCUGACCCCAGACGCUAAGCAGGGUCGGGCCUGAUUAGUACUUGGAUGAGAAACAAAUAUACUUCUCACUAAGCUAAAUAGUUCAGAAUUUA